Molecule: transfer RNA, 74 nt
Filed under: Candidatus Doudnaibacteriota bacterium
Lineage: Bacteria; Candidatus Doudnaibacteriota
Description: Candidatus Doudnabacteria bacterium tRNA-Trp
Rfam family: tRNA
About the family: Transfer RNA (tRNA) molecules are approximately 80 nucleotides in length.
Source: RNAcentral
GGGGGGUUCGUAUAACGGUAGUACUACGGUCUCCAAAACCGUAUGCGAAGGUCCGACUCCUUCACCCCCUGCCA